UGGGGAAUAUUGCACAAUGGGCGCAAGCCUGAUGCAGCCAUGCCGCGUGUGUGAAGAAGGCCUUCGGGUUGUAAAGCACUUUCAGCGGGGAGGAAGGCGGUGAGGUUAAUAACCUCAUCGUUUGACGUUACCCGCAGAAGAAGCACCGGCUAACUCCGUGCCAGCAGCCGCGGUAAUACGGAGGGUGCAAGCGUUAAUCGGAAUUACUGGGCGUAAAGCGCACGCAGGCGGUCUGUCAAGUCGGAUGUGAAAUCCCCGGGCUCAACCUGGGAACUGCAUUCGAAACUGGCAGGCUAGAGUCUUGUAGAGGGGGGUAGAAUUCCAGGUGUAGCGGUGAAAUGCGUAGAGAUCUGGAGGAAAACCGGGGGCGAAGGCGGCCCCCUGGACAAAGACUGACGCUCAGGUGCGAAAGAGUGGGGAGCAAACAGG
This 429-nucleotide ribosomal RNA is filed under the name Chloroflexota bacterium. RNAcentral describes it as "Chloroflexi bacterium partial 16S ribosomal RNA". It matches the Rfam family "Bacterial small subunit ribosomal RNA", at positions 355 to 776 of the family's 1533-position model. Lineage: Bacteria; Bacillati; Chloroflexota. The record is from RNAcentral.